AGCGUCGUAAGGGUGCGUAACACGUAUGCAAUCUGCCCGGAACAGGGGUAUAGCUCGGUGAAAACCGGAUUAACCCCCCAUAAUACAAUUGGGUGGCAUCACUUGAUUGUUAAAUCUGCGGAGGUUCCGGAUGAGCAUGCGGAUGAUUAGCUAGUUGGCGGUGUAACGGACCACCAAGGCGAUGAUCAAUAGGGGAACUGAGAGGUUGAUCCCCCACACUGGCACUGAGAUACGGGCCAGACUCCUACGGGAGGCAGCAGUAGGGAAUAUUGGACAAUGGGUGCAAGCCUGAUCCAGCCAUGCCGCGUGCAGGAAGAAGGCUUUCUGAGUUGUAAACUGCUUUUGCCAGGGGAUAAAAUACGGAUGCGUCCGGAAUUGAAGGUACCUGGUGAAUAAGCCACGGCUAACUACGUGCCAGCAGCCGCGGUAAUACGUAGGUGGCAAGCGUUGUCCGGAUUUAUUGGGUUUAAAGGGUGCGUAGGCGGUCUCUUAAGUCAGUGGUGAAAUACUUCAGCUCAACUGGAGAGGUGCCAUUGAUACUGGGAGACUUGAGUACUGAUGAGGUAGGCGGAAUGGACGGUGUAGCGGUGAAAUGCUUAGAUAUCGUCCAGAACACCGAUAGCGAAGGCAGCUUACUAAGGAGUAACUGACGCUGAGGCACGAAAGUGUGGGGAUCAAACAGGAUUAGAUACCCUGGUAGUCCACACUGU
Molecule: ribosomal RNA, 710 nt
Filed under: uncultured Cytophagaceae bacterium
Lineage: Bacteria; Pseudomonadati; Bacteroidota; Cytophagia; Cytophagales; Cytophagaceae
Description: bacterial SSU rRNA
Rfam family: Bacterial small subunit ribosomal RNA
Source: RNAcentral